ACUCACCAGGGAGACAGAACCGGAAAGACCUAUUGUAAACUCUAGGCGCUCCUACCUCCGCAAUAAUACAAUAUACAUGAAAUUGGAGGAACAUGCAUGCAACUUUCUGUAGCUGCGUAUCCAUCCAAGCGGCCAAUAUGAUCGCAUAAUUCAACGCAAACGCUCAUCGUGUGCAAAUGCAAUACGCUAACGGAGACAAUUGGGAGCUCAUGAUGAGUCCUACAUGGCAAGGCUCGCUUCGCUUAGCUAGGCAAGUUGGCAAUAUGUCGCACCAUCGUGGUUUGCUAACAAUAGAUCAACAACCUUCCCAAAGGCCACCCAAGCAAUGUGGCCAUAUCAACGCACCACCCGUGUCCACCCUACGAGUUGCGUGUCAGCAAGUGAAACCGCAGAAGACGCAGCCGAAGGGUAAGACAUGUAGCAAUCCAAGGCAGGUCGGACCUGAUGCAAAUUAACACCCUUUGGAAACGGGCUCAGCCACUGCGCCACUGCGCACCAGGCAUGAGUGAUAUGAAUGAAUAUGUGCUUUCCUCUCCUGGCCCCUUUUAGGAACCUACACCGCAAAGCUCGUGCGACACGUGUCAGAGCCCCCAAGCCCGCGCUCGGCGAAUCUUUACAUGCUCAACGCGUGCCUGUAUGCCCGCUACAGAAUCCCUAACCCUGGGUGCCAUUCCGCUCUCAAAGACUCAUGCAUGGUUUCUCGAGGAUUGAAAACUUAACUUGUCUCUCAUCCUUACAUAGCUGAGUAAUAAGACGUUACAGCAAAUCUCCAGCUCCAGAAAACCUGCACUGCAUAACUAUUUUUUAACAUUUUGCAGUAAUUUCUAAACUGGUCCAAACCGGCUAUUGCGAGCCACGCACUCCACACCCAGCUGCAAAGUGGCCAACUCUACGUCUGAAUAACAAGAAGCACCCA
RNAcentral lists this long non-coding RNA (916 nucleotides) under Volvox carteri. RNAcentral's name for it is "long non-coding RNA (VCAR_LNC000909)". Lineage: Eukaryota; Viridiplantae; Chlorophyta; Chlorophyceae; Chlamydomonadales; Volvocaceae. The record is from RNAcentral.